RNAcentral lists this ribosomal RNA (305 nucleotides) under uncultured bacterium. RNAcentral describes it as "bacterial SSU rRNA". It matches the Rfam family "Bacterial small subunit ribosomal RNA", at positions 29 to 326 of the family's 1533-position model. The record is from RNAcentral.
AACGAACGCUGGCGGCGCGCCUAAUACAUGCAAGUCGAACGAGAAGCUGUAGCAAUACAGUUGUACAGUGGCGAACGGGUGAGGAAUACAUGGGUGACCUACCCUCGAGUGGGGAAUAACCAGCCGAAAGGUUGGCUAAUACCGCGUACGCUUCCCAGUCUACGGGUUGGGAAGGAAAGCGAUGCCGUGGGUAUCGCGCUCAAGGUUGGGCUCAUGUCCUAUCAGCNGUUGGUGGGGUAACGCUCACCAAGGCAACGACGGGUAGCUGGUCUGAGAGGACGAUCAGCCACACUGGCACUGCGACA